This 327-nucleotide ribosomal RNA is filed under the name uncultured eukaryote. RNAcentral describes it as "partial 18S ribosomal RNA". It matches the Rfam family "Eukaryotic small subunit ribosomal RNA", at positions 1470 to 1796 of the family's 1831-position model. The record is from RNAcentral.
CCCUUAGAUGUCCUGGGCCGCACGCGCGCUACACUGACAUGUUCAACAAGCCUCCUAGUUCGACAGGAUUUGGGAAAUCUUUGAACGCAUGUCGUGAUAGGGAUAGAUCAUUGCAAUUAUUGAUCUUGAACGAGGAAUUCCUAGUAAGCGCGAGUCAUCAGCUCGCGUUGAUUACGUCCCUGCCCUUUGUACACACCGCCCGUCGCUACUACCGAUUGAAUGGUUUAGUGAGGACUCCUGAUUGGCGCCGCCGCCCCGGCAACGGAGCAGCGGACUGCCGAAAAGUUGUUCAAACUUGAUCAUUUAGAGGAAGUAAAAGUCGUAACA